GACGAACGCUGGCGGCGUGCUUAACACAUGCAAGUCGAACGGAAAGGCCCUGCUUUUGUGGGGUGCUCGAGUGGCGAACGGGUGAGUAACACGUGAGUAACCUGCCCUUGACUUUGGGAUAACUUCAGGAAACUGGGGCUAAUACCGGAUAGGAGCUCCUGCUGCAUGGUGGGGGUUGGAAAGUUUCGGCGGGUGGGGAUGGACUCGCGGCUUAUCAGCUUGUUGGUGGGGUAGUGGCUUACCAAGGCUUUGGCGGGUAGCCGGCCUGAGGGGGUGACCGGCCACAUGGGGACUGAGAGCGGGCCCAAGCCCCUCGGGGGGGCGGCAGGGGGGAAUUUUGCCCAAGGGGGGGAAGCCUGAGCACGAACCCCCGGGGGGGGGAUGAGGGCCUUGGGGUGGUAAACCGUUUUCCCCUGGGACGAAGGGGGGGUGACGGUAAGGGGUAAAGAAGCCCCGGCUAACUACGU
This 467-nucleotide ribosomal RNA is filed under the name uncultured bacterium. Its description in RNAcentral is "partial 16S ribosomal RNA". It matches the Rfam family "Bacterial small subunit ribosomal RNA", at positions 28 to 506 of the family's 1533-position model. The record is from RNAcentral.